UUAAUUGAAGAGUUUGAUCAUGGCUCAGAUUGAACGCUGGCGGCAGGCCUAACACAUGCAAGUCGAGCGGAAACGGCAGUAUUGAAGCUUCGGUGGAUUUACUGGACGUCGAGCGGCGGACGGGUGAGUAACGGCUGGGAACCUGCCCUGACGAGGGGGAUAACCGUUGGAAACGACGGCUAAUACCGC
Molecule: ribosomal RNA, 189 nt
Filed under: Salinivibrio sp. IB872
Lineage: Bacteria; Pseudomonadati; Pseudomonadota; Gammaproteobacteria; Vibrionales; Vibrionaceae
Description: partial 16S ribosomal RNA
Rfam family: Bacterial small subunit ribosomal RNA
Source: RNAcentral